Molecule: long non-coding RNA, 5628 nt
Organism: Equus caballus (horse)
Lineage: Eukaryota; Metazoa; Chordata; Mammalia; Perissodactyla; Equidae
Source: Ensembl
GUUUGUUUUACUCCCCACUCAGUGCCUCCUUCUCUUCUUCUCCUUGCUACAAGGGCCACCAGUAAAAACGGGAGAUGGGGCUGAGUCCUGUGAAAGUACAUAUCCAUCACUUGCAGCGCUUUUCUUGGAGACUCAAAUUAGCACCUCACCAAGUUCUUAGGACCUUCUUACCAGGUGUGUGUUUUCCCCAUAAAACCAGCUGCCUCAGACCCAAAGCCACUGCUGCGGACCUGUCCUCCACCUGGUCCUACCAGUGAAGGCUCAGGGAAUACCCAGGAGGCUUCCUCCUACAGCUUCUGCAGCAACACUGCCAGAGAGGUGGUGAGCUGCUCAUCUGUGGGGGCAUUCAACAAAGACUGCACGGCCAACAGCAGGAGCACUAUACAGAAAACACCUUCUCUGGAUGGGAAAUUAGCCUGGAGAACCUCAUCCUGGUGUUAUAAUUGCACGGGCAUCUGGCAGCUUCUCAAGGAGCAAGCAUGGGCGUCGGCUCUUCUCAUUUCUCCCCAGGAUGUAGGCAGGCCAGCUGUGCACACUCCAGCAGAGCGGUUGAAGUUCCAUCGAGUCUUGAGGCUCAGUGCCAGGGGUCUUACUUUUUAACAGAAACUGCAGCGAGGCCGGCAGGAGGACGGGUGCACGGCUGCGGCCCCAACAGUGGGCUCCUGUGUGCCGACUGCAUUCAGCGCAGCUCCACACGCGGGGGUAAAUCCACGGGCUCUGCGGUUGCCUGGCCACAGGGACCAUAAAUUGUGACACUUGCGGUCAUGGAAGUGCCGAGUGAUAAAAACUCGACGUCACAAAGUGUCCUUAACCUGCUGCUGCCUCAUCUUUCUCAUUUGUGACUUGGUUAAAGAAAAUUUUUUUGUAACAGUUUCAGGCUCUUCUUUUUCGUUUCCUCAGUCUGCUGCAGAACCCCUUCAGUCAGGGAGGGAAAAGCAACCAAGCCAAUCUGGUCUCCUUGUUGGCACCUCUGUGAGGCCAGCUGGCUAGAGGGAGGGGGCCCGAUGGCGGAGGGAGAGGGCGAUGCUGGGGUCCCAGCAGCCCCCAAAGCAGGCGGGGCCCUCUCCUCGAAGAAGCUCACCUUUAACCUCCAAGCCCAGCCGACAGGCCCCCUGAUUGUGCAGUAGAUUACAAAUCGCACAAGAACCCAGAGCAGACAACAGACACAGGAGAAACACAGCCCUUGCCCCCAAAUCUGCGCUCCAUGAACCAGCUAUUUGGGGCCCAGAAGCUCCCAGGAACUGAAGUCUGAAGGUGGUGAGAAUCCAGGCAUGAGGCCAAGUCUGAGCUCCACUGGCUACUGGCCCGGGGACUUUGGGCAAGUCAUUUCUCUCUGAGCCUCAGUUUCCCCAGUUUGGAGAGAGUGGUGGCGGUAAACAAUAGCCCCAGCCUCACAAGGCCAAGCCGGGCAGGAGAUGCGCUAGAGUGCUCUGGCUCUGGCACAGGGUCUGCCCCCCCCGCCCUCCCCCCAGUCCCUGCAACUCACCAAGGAGGGGCUCCUCCGGUGGGGAAAGUGGCACAGGGGCAGAGAGACCAGAACCCCGCUCCCCACCCUUUUCCCGGGCAGCAUGGGAGACUGGUACCUUUGGGAGAGGUGCUCAGAGCUACAGGGUUGCGGCACUCCAAACGGGAGGGUCUGGCUUCACGGCUACCCCAGCUGGUUCAGGGACAGGCCUCCUCCCUUCAUCGGCAGAGCCCAGUGGGCACGGCAGCCCUCGAGAAUAACCCAGCCCAGAAACGGCCAAAGAGCCAGGGAAGGGGCCCCGCCUCUCACUCUGCUACCAGCUUCCAGGCGGUUCCCUUUCGCUGGACCGGGGCAUCCUCGCAGCCCAGUCCUGGACCCAGCUCUGCGUCCCUGACCUGCCACAGCUGGAAAAAAGAAAAAGAGAUAUUUGUUUUUAUUUAAUUUGUUUAUAAAAAGAAAAGUGUUUGUUACAGAAAAUUUGGAAAUACAGAAAAGCACAAAAAAGAAAACAAAAAUUACCCGUGAGAUAACUACCAGGUAUGUUUUCUUGAAGUCCUUCUGGUAUCUUUCCCAAACCAUAUACUAUAUGUACUAGACAUGUCUGUAUGAUCAUACUAUAGGUUAUUUCAGAUCCUUUUCGCUUAAUAUGUUGUGAGUAUUUUGUGUCAUUAAGUAUUAUUCUCUAUGGGAUUUGAAAAAUAAAAUCUAAAUAUCAACUAAUUUUUUAAAUCAACUUCACUGAGGUGUAAUUUCCAUGAAGAUCUCUUUCACUUGUGCUGUUCGACGAGUUUUGACACAUGCAUACCCCCAUGUAACCAGCACCACAAUCAAGAAAAAAAAUACGAUCACCACAAAAUGUCCCCUAGUCCCCCUUGCAGGCGGGCCCUACCUCCCAGGUCCCAGGCAGACACCCAUCUGAAUCCUACCACUGUAGAUUAGUUUUACCUUUAUUUAAUUUAACAUAAGCGGGAUCAGAGAGUAGGAUCUCUUGCUCAGCAUAACUGACACUCAUGGACGUCGCUGAGUCUCUCACCAGCCCACGCCUUAUUGUUUUACGGUAUCCCAUCGUAUGGCGCCCACAGUCUGUUUACCCACUCAUCUGUGGGUGGACAGUUGGGUUAUUUCUGAUGUUCUGGCUAUUGCGAACAGAACUUUGUGAAUGCUUUAAAUUUUUAACGAGCUGUGUCACUGGCACAGGUUGAGGUAGACCCACCGUGUGGGCGUGGUCCGUGUGUUUCCUGCCUGGAGCAUCGCGCUGAGUUCAUCCUGGGUGGGUUAUCACUUUUGCCACUGUUGUCAGACAUGUUGUCCCGUUGAAGUGUUUGCUACUGUAAAUCAUGCUGCUGGGAACAGCUUUAUCCUGACACUUCUACGUACGGCUGUGUUGCUUUCCUGAGGGUAAAUUCCCAUAAGCGUGUUAGGUCAAAGGGUGUCCAUGCAUUUAAGGUCCUUGACGCACCAGGUCAGGACUUCUAGGCAUGUUCCUAUCCAGAUUCCCCCCAUUUGCUUCUCAUAAGAAGGACAGGCAUCGUGACCCCCAUCGUUCAGAUGGGAAAACUGAGGCCUACAGAGAAGGAGUUGCCAGCAAGGAGUCACACAGCUGGUUAGGGGCCGAGCUGGGAGGAAACCCCCACCUCGAAGUCUCGCACUCUUCCAAGACGACUUACUGCCUCACUCUCACGCAUCUGCCUCUAUCAGAAGCGCUUGGAAUUUUCCCACAAAGAUUUCCAUGAAAAUCAGAUUGUGGGCUGAGGGAUGAAAGGCAGCCUCAUGUUAAUUAGUCUGGCUUUGGUUUGGUUCAUCCACCGAGCUUGAGCGUGUGUGACGAUCUCUGUGUCUUUAUACACACGCACACUGGCACUCUCACACACACCAACACCAGUGGCGGCCCAUCCAGAUGAUCUGGUCCAGAUUCUCCUUCUAACCCGCCUUCAGAGUCGGGAGCCACAGGGUCUCCUGACUUUACAGUUGCGAUACAUUCUGACCCAGGACAGGGGGCCCUGGCUUGGCAACCACGCACCUACUCAGCAGACUUGGCCCAAAGGACGUCUGGUUAUUUCCCCAAAUCUAAUCUCCCCUGGGGGACAAAGAUCAGGCUGUUGGGGGGAUUCAAAGGAACAAUCCUGAGACAGCCGGAUCCCUGGCACUCAACGGGGCCCAGCAGAGGACGGGGGAAGUGGAGGUGCUCCUUGGAGUAUAGGCAUCCCACAUACUUGUAGAGGGCUCUCAGGCCACUCUAGGGAUGUGGGAACAGCUCAGCACUAAAACUAAGACAAAGUUUGAUCCGUUCAGUCAUUAACUGGCUCCUACAUAUCUAAGACACCCGUUAUCUUAUUUAAUCCUCAAUGACCAAAUAUUGUUAUCCCCAUCUUACAGACGAGACACCUAAGGUUCAGCGAGGUUAAGAAACUUGCCUGAAGUCACACAGCAGUGGGCACUCAGUCUCAGCAUGACUGCUCUUUGUAGACAUCAGGCCCCAGCCUCUCUUCUGAGUUAGAAAGGUCUCUGCCCCUGGGUGUGGCUGGCAGACCCCAAGGCGCACACAUUCGUCUGAAGCUAGCUCACCUAGAGCCCAAGAUGAUUUGUAAUUGCUUGGAGGAUACAAAUGGUCCAGACUCUCCCUCCCCCUGACUCAAUCCUGAGGAGCUUCCUUCCUGGAACCAACCUCAGGGCUCAGGUCCCUGCGGGACUUCCUUCCUGGGACCACACCCCAGGCCCACCCCACUACUGAAUAGACCCAUUAAUGCCCUGUUCCUGCCCCCAUUUAAGGUGAGUGUUGCUCGCUGAGUGGGGACAAAGAAUCACCUCCUCUCAGCCUGGGGUCCAAGGCCUCCCUGUUCUCGAAGCCAGCAGGUCUAAGGAGGCCUUGUCCACGGGGGAAGAAACCAGGAAAGGAAGAGCCCAUUCUCUCAGAAAACAUGUGUUUUCUGUUUACAGAGGGGCCUGUCCAGUUCCCAUGCUUUGUUCUUUAAUAUGGAGCCAAAAACAAAAAAAUUCAAAUUUGCAGCUUCCUCCCCGAGGUACAUACAUAUGGAGGCUGGAAAAUCUGGAUUGCUGUGGGCACCCUGUGCUGGGCCUCGUGUCUGGUCUGCCGCCAAUGUCCAGCAUCACUCGGCCUUUUAUACCAACCUGGAAAGCCACGUGGAUAGCCAAAAUGCCCGUCUCCGUGUCUCCCAGGGAGAGAGGGUGGAGAUGAGAGAGGCAGGCAGCCUUGGGGUAGCUGGGGUUUGGUGAACGUCGCGGGAAAUGCGCUCACCCACACUUCCCAGCCUCAUGACACCGGCAUGGCAGACUUGGUCCAACAAACUGGGCGUUCUGAAAUCACCCACUUUCUCACGGCCUCUCCUCAGAUGCUGGACAGACCGUGUCUUUUCCCAUCACCUGAGCAAGGAGACCCCGUGUGACAGAUAACAAAACAGCAGAGAAUUUGAAAAACCUGGGAGAGUACAAAUGAAAAUAAGAAAUCUUUCAGGCUCUCACAGCGCAAACCACGGCCGAGAGCUCGGCGUCGACUCUCGUCUUGAGUCUUUUUCUGGUGAAUAUAUGUAUUUUUCCGUAAUCGGAAGGACACGGUCCAUACACCUGUAAGCACCUUAACAAAAUAACUCUCUUUUUCUGGCUGUAAAGCGACACGCGUUAGUGCAGAAAAUUUGGACAAUUAAAAACAUACGAAGAAGAAAAUAAAAACAACCUGAUCCCACCGUGUGAGAUUAACAUUUUGGCAUUUUUCCUUCCUCUUGACACAAUUGAACAUCUGUUUGAAACAAAAUUGGGAUUAUAGUGUAAAUAUUGUUUUGCACCUUGCUCCUUUCAUGCAUGGCUGUGUUAUAAGUGUCCCCACAUCACUGAGGGUUCGUCUACUAUGUUGUUUGUAAUCACACAGCCCUGUAUUGGGGGGUUUGUGUUUUAUUUAACUUAUAUACUAUGAUUGGACAUUGAUGCUGUUUAUAUUUUCCAUCUCUUCCUUGCUUCCUUUUUCUUUUAUGGUGAAUAUCCUUGUAGCUAAACCUGUGUGCAUGUUCACGAAAAUGCCUUAUGACAAAUCCCCAGCUGUGGAAUUGCUAAGUCAAAGAAUGUAAUCACUAAUGCUUCUUGUACCCCUCUUUUUUACUUUAUGUGCUUUCCAAAUUUAAAAAGUAAUAAAUGAAUAUUUUAACAAGUGA